CCCCUCUCUUCUUUUCCGGCGGCGGUAGCAGCGCCGCCUCCGCCGUCCCCUGACUCCCCUCUCCCCCAUCUCUCGCCUCUCACACACACCUCCUUCUCCCUCAUCCUCACUCAUCAAACUAACCGCCGCUGUGGAGACUCGCCGGAGACGUAGCAGUGACGAGCCGCCGCCACCAGCUCUCUCUCUGACCUCUCUCGACCGAUCCUCCCUCUGGAACUCCGGCGAUAGCAGCGAGAACCGCCACCGACCGCCGCUGACUCCGACUCUCCUCUACUUCUCCGACCGUGGCCGAGCAACAGCAGCCAAGGCCGCCGAGCUCUGGCCUCCCUCGGUCUCUCUCUCUCUCUACCUUCCGGCGACUGCAGCAGCGAUAAGCCGCCUCGCCGGAACCCUAACCUCCACCCAGAACAGCUCCGACCAGCUACCACCCCACACAGGUAAACCCCCAAAUCUCCCUUCUCUUCCUUUCAAAAUACAAAAUCUGAAAUCUAAUUCCUCCUCCUCCUCCUCUCUCGUUUUGGCAGAACAGGGACUGGGCGGCAGUUGCCGCCGCGCCGCCGUUGCCGGCGCCCAGCAGCCACCUGCUGCUCCCUCCUUCCCCUCUCACGACUCGGACAGCGCACACACACAAUAAAGCAUAAGGAAACCCUCCCAAUUCAAUCCAGAUUCACAAAGUAA
This 678-nucleotide long non-coding RNA is filed under the name Salvia miltiorrhiza (redroot sage). RNAcentral's name for it is "long non-coding RNA (SMIL_LNC007438)". Lineage: Eukaryota; Viridiplantae; Streptophyta; Magnoliopsida; Lamiales; Lamiaceae. The record is from RNAcentral.